This 794-nucleotide small RNA is filed under the name Arabidopsis thaliana (thale cress). RNAcentral describes it as "ATSL161900". The record is from RNAcentral. Lineage: Eukaryota; Viridiplantae; Streptophyta; Magnoliopsida; Brassicales; Brassicaceae.
AUAAACCAAUUCGAAAUCUGACAUUUAAGCUAACAUUACAAAUUCAAACCUGGGAAACACAAGAGAUUCGACGGCGACACACUUUACUACUUCCGACGGCGAAGAUGGGAUUCGACGGCGACAAACUUCACUAUUUCAGACGACGAAGAUGGGAUUCAACGGCGACAAACUUCACAAUUUCCAUUGGAGGAAUAACAGAAAGAGAUUCGACGGCGACAAACUUCACUAUUUCCGACGGCGAAGAUGGGAUUCGACGGCGACAAACUUCACUAUUUCCGACGGCAUAGGAUUCAACGGCGACAAACUUCACAAUUUCCGAUGGAGGAAGAAGAGAGAGAGAGAGAGAGAGAGAGAGGAAAUGAAUUAGGUCAGAAGUGUGUGUAGCUCAGUAAGGGUAAUUUGGGGAUAAAAGUAUUAGAAGGGGUAAAAAUGAAAAUGGAAAAAAGGGUAGAGUUGAAAAAGGGCAUUGAGAAAAGGGCAUUAGAGUGAAUUAUUCAAGAAAAAAAUGAACCAGAACGAGUCUGAUAAAAAUUUGGUAAGUUACAGUUAUUGAUUCAAAAAUUUAAUUUUGUUUUUUUAUUUAAAAUUACGGUUAUCAUUUAUUUAAGUUUUAGUGUUUACCCAUUGCACAUUGCACCUUAAAUAAAUGACUCAUAAAAUCUCUAUCCAUUGCACAUGCUCUAAAUGAGUUAUCGACUGUCACGUCAUCGAUACAUAGAAGGGCUAUGUUGCAGGAGAUUUUUUAGAUUGUGGUUUGUAUUUAUUUGACAUGAAGGUUUAUUUUGCAAAAAAAA